UUUCCCCUCUGGUAACCCGCGGAGAAGCGAAACCUAACGAGCCAAAGCCUGGGCGCUGCGAUACUAGCUGGCGUGCGUAACGUUGACGCAGGCGACGCUAGCGGGACUAGAGGGCGCGUGCGCGGUGUGUCUGUCAAGGGCCCCGGGCUUCCUGCGUUCGGCGGUGGCUGGGCCGGGGAGGUGGGUGCCGGUUCCCGGUGCUGCGGGGGCGUGUCCGGGCAAACUUUCUGGCCUACCGGUGCGCCACCUCUCUCCCUCGCGGCUUGGGGCGUAGUGGACCCAAAGGAACGACUACCCCGGGAAGCAGCCCCCAACCCCGGGAGCGGAAGUGGAGGACGGCCCCCGAAAGCGAGUGAAGCGCUACUUCUCCAGACAGUGGGGCCCCAGGUGGGCGUGAGCGAAGGAUUUUAGUUACUGUGGAAAUGCCUCUGUUUUGCCUUCUUCCAGAAAUUUGUCUAAGUUCAACUGCUUCUGCUGGUGGGGAAAAAAUGAUCUAAGGGACGGGGUCUCCCCCAUGCUGGAGUAUAG
This is a long non-coding RNA of Otolemur garnettii (small-eared galago), 528 nucleotides long. RefSeq lists it as uncharacterized. The transcript has 3 exons. Lineage: Eukaryota; Metazoa; Chordata; Mammalia; Primates; Galagidae. The record is from RefSeq and is a predicted model, not a curated record.